AUGCGGUAUGACGGUACCCUUUCGAAUAAGAGGUUGCUAACUCUGUGCCAGCAGCAGCGGUAAUACAGAGACCUCGAGCGUUAUCCGGAUUUACUGGGCGUAAAGCGUCUGUAGGGGGUUUGUUAAGUUCCAAGUAAAAUCUUAAGGCUCAACUUUAAGUUCGCUUGGAAAACUAAUAAACUGGAGUCCAGCAGAGGUGCAUGGAACUUGCGGUGUAGGAGUGAAAUCCGUUGAUAUCGCAAGGAACACCAAAGGCGAAGGCAUUGCACUGGGCUGGUACUGACCCUGAGAGACGAAAGCGUGGGGAGCAAAACGGAUUAGAUACCCGUGUAGUCCACGCCGUAAACGAUGGAUACUAGAUGUUCGGGGAUUCGACCCCCUGGGUGUCACAGCUAACGCGUUAAGUAUCCCGCCUGGGAAGUACGGCCGCAAGGCUAAAACUCAAAGGAAUAGACGGGGAUCCGCACAAGCGGUGGAGCGUCUGGUUUAAUUUGAUAGUAAGCAAUGGACCUCACCAAGGUUUGACAUCCUAUGACAACCCUGGAAACAGGGCUUCCUUCGGGCAUAGUGACAGGUGCUGCAUGGUCGUCGUCAGUUCGUGCCGUGAGGUGUUCCGUUAAGUCGGGAAACGAGCGAAACCCUCGUCGCAUGUUACAAAUUUCAUGCGAGACUGCCCGGGUCAACCGGGAGGAAGGCGGGGAUGACGUCAGAUCAGCAUGGCCCUUAUACCUUGGGCUACACAGGCGCUACAAUGGCCGGUACAAAGGGUUGCAAAACCGCGAGGUGAAGCUAAUCCCAUAAAGCCGGUCCGAGUUCGGAUUGGAGGCUGCAACUCGCCUCCAUGAAGUUGGAAUCGCUAGUAAUCGUGGAUCAGACAUACCACGGUGAUACGUUCCCGGAUCUUGUACUCACCGCCCGUCACACCAAGAGAGUUGG
This 936-nucleotide ribosomal RNA is filed under the name uncultured organism. RNAcentral describes it as "bacterial SSU rRNA". It matches the Rfam family "Bacterial small subunit ribosomal RNA", at positions 462 to 1414 of the family's 1533-position model. The record is from RNAcentral.